CCCUUAGAUGUUCUGGGCCGCACGCGCGCUACACUGAUGAAUUCAACGAGCACUAACCUGUGCAGAAAUGUUCGGGUAAUCUUGUGAAAUUUCAUCGUGAUGGGGAUUGAUUAUUGCAAUUAUUAAUCAUAAACGAGGAAUGCCUAGUAAGCGUGAGUCAUCAGCUCACGUUGAUUACGUCCCUGCCCUUUGUACACACCGCCCGUCGCUCCUACCGAUUGAAUGUGCUGGUGAAAAGUUCGGAUUGGGAAUAGGAGACGGCAACGUAUCCUGUUUCUGAGAAAAUCUUUAAACCCUCCCAUUGAGAGGAAGGAGAAGUCGUAACA
This 326-nucleotide ribosomal RNA is filed under the name uncultured eukaryote. RNAcentral describes it as "partial 18S ribosomal RNA". It matches the Rfam family "Eukaryotic small subunit ribosomal RNA", at positions 1470 to 1796 of the family's 1831-position model. The record is from RNAcentral.